CCUACGGGUGGCAGCAGUAGGGAAUCUUGCGCAAUGGGCGCAAGCCUGACGCAGCAACGCCGCGUGAUCGAGACGCCCUUCGGGGUGGAAAGGUCUGUCAGUGGGGACGAAACUUGACGGUACCCACAGCGGAAGCACCGGCUAACUCCGUGCCAGCAGCCGCGGUCAUACGGGGGGCGCAAGCGUUGUCCGGAAGCAUUGGGCGUAAAGAGUUCGUAGGCGGCACGUACAGUCAGGUGUUAAAGGCAGAGGCUCAACCGUAGAAUUGCAGUUGAAACUGGCAGGCUUGAGUACAGUAGAGGUGGGCGGAAUUCGAUGUGUAGCGGUGAAAUGCUUAGAGAUCACGAAGAACACCGAUGGCGAAGGCGGUUCACUGGACUGCAACUGACACUGAGGCUCGAAAGUGUGGGUAGCAAACAGGAUUAGAUACCCUGGUAGUC
RNAcentral lists this ribosomal RNA (440 nucleotides) under uncultured bacterium. Its description in RNAcentral is "partial 16S ribosomal RNA". It matches the Rfam family "Bacterial small subunit ribosomal RNA", at positions 338 to 795 of the family's 1533-position model. The record is from RNAcentral.